UAUGUGUGCAAGCAAGCCAGAGUGUGCCAGAGGAGUGCUGGAGCUCCCAGCUUCCCUUUCUAGAUGAAAUUGCUGAUGCUGUAGGGAUCUUUUCAGCAAAGACCUUGGCAAAAUAAAUAGAGGGUUAAAGGAGGACGCUAGUGGUUAUUUGGAAAUGCAUAGGAUUUAACCAUGUCAGAGAUUCAAAUCUCUGUAAAAUUCUAGAACACUGAACCUAGACUUCAUGAACUGAAGAUAUAUAGGCAAGGUAAUGAGCAUCCAGCAGGAGAAGGGGACGUGUCCAAAACAGAAACGAAGGUGCUUGGAUUGUUCUUGGAAGAGAUGGAUGGAAUAUAUAUAUAUAUAAAUUGAGCCCUGAAUAAUCUUUGAGAUUUGGACUAGCGGAAAAAAUGGAGAAGAUGUGGUAGUGUCUUGGGGGACCCCUAUAAGGCUUCAGAAUGAAAGGCUUCCAGGACUGUGGGGGAGACAGCAGAAAACACUCUGGUUUUGGAGGCAGACAGGUUGAAUUCCAACCCAUGUUUAUCUACCUGGACGAGAUCUCAGAGAAGCUGAAUACCCUCUCUGGACCUUGGAAGGCAUUGGAGCUGAUGGCUUCUGGGCCUCUCAGUUCCAGCCGGGUGAUUCUAUGGCCUGAUGAAGAUUGGCUGCUCCUUCAGGGAUGGCUGCUGUUAGACACAAAUAGGUUUGAAUCCACCAGCAUGGAGCAAAAUGAAGAACACUGAACUAGAGAAUCACCGGAUUUAGCUUCAAAUCUUAACUCUACUAUGACUUUAGAAAAUUCUCUUAAUUUCUCUGGGUUUGUUUCCAUCCUUUGAACUAAGGAGAUUGGCCUAGGUUAUAAGUCUAAUAUCUCUUUGAGUUUUAAAUUUAUUGUUUCACCUGCAUAUGCAGGUAUCCAGUUUGUCUCUCUGUCUCUCCAAAAAAGAUGUUAUACAAAUAUAUAUUUCAUCUGGAUAUCCACUAGCUAUCUCUUAUUCAAUAUAGGUACAGUAAAAAUUUUUUUCUUCCCUCUGUCCCAAAAAUAUACAUCCUACAGCUUCCUGUGACUGUUGAAGAAACUACCAUCUUCCUAGUCGCCCCGCUUCACAAUCUCAACUUGACAUUAAAAGCUCUGUGGAACUGGGCUCCCCCCUUCCUUUGCAGAUUUUUUUUUCUACUCACCUUCAC
Molecule: long non-coding RNA, 1167 nt
Filed under: Sarcophilus harrisii (Tasmanian devil)
Lineage: Eukaryota; Metazoa; Chordata; Mammalia; Dasyuromorphia; Dasyuridae
Description: lncRNA (ENSSHAG00000024799.1)
Source: RNAcentral